Molecule: ribosomal RNA, 329 nt
Filed under: uncultured eukaryote
Lineage: Eukaryota
Description: partial 18S ribosomal RNA
Rfam family: Eukaryotic small subunit ribosomal RNA
Source: RNAcentral
CCCUUAGAUGUUCUGGGCUGCACGCGCGCUACACUGAUGCGCUCAACGAGCUUAUGUCCUUGCCUGGAAAGGUUGGGUAAUCUUUUUAAAACGCAUCGUGAUGGGGAUAGAUUAUUGCAAUUAUUAAUCUUCAACGAGGAAUGCCUAGUAAGCGCAAGUCAUCAGCUUGCGUUGAUUACGUCCCUGCCCUUUGUACACACCGCCCGUCGCUCCUACCGAUUGAAUGGUCCGGUGAAGCGUUCGGACCGUGGCCUUUGGACGGUUCGCCGUCUGUUGGCUGCGGGAAGUUCGUUAAACCUUAUCAUUUAGAGGAAGGAGAAGUCGUAACA